This 3217-nucleotide unclassified non-coding RNA is filed under the name Gigantopelta aegis. RNAcentral describes it as "coiled-coil domain-containing protein 81-like, transcript variant X2". Lineage: Eukaryota; Metazoa; Mollusca; Gastropoda; Neomphalida; Peltospiridae. The record is from RNAcentral.
CUCCGGAUGCUCCCAUAGCAACGUUGAUAGUAACUUGUCUGCAUAUCCAAAAUGGGACCUUGUGUUUAUAAAUAAUUUAAUAUGCCAUAGGUUUAGCUACUUGAAAUACAUCUUGAUUCAACAAUGUCGGAGGCAUUGCAAGGAUUAUUCUCUGAUGCGAAAAAAGGAAAAUAUUCAAGCAUAAGAGACACAUUAUCAGAGGAUGAUGUUGCUUCUAUUUGGGAAAAUGUUUGUGGGUUUAUUGCAAAGCAGAUGACCCAACAGAAGGGAGUGAAUAUCGGUGGAUUAGGUACAUUUACCUUUUCACAACAAAAGUUGGAUAUUGGCAACAAAAAGUUUCUUUUAAUGCAGAGGCCAGUUUUUAACAUUGCAGAGAAGUUUGCACAAACCCAUGCCUUACAUACUUCAAAACGCUAUGCUCCAGGACAAAUUCCGGUGGUACCACUCAACUAUGCAGCAGUGUCGUUUGAAAGCCCGUUUGAUCGGGACACGGUCGAGGGCUGCGUGAGGGAAAUACUGAAUGCCAUCACACGAGCUCUUGGUGCUAGGAGAAAUGUAGAAUUGUUGUUUCCUGGUGUUGGGAGAUUGUCCAUUCGUGAGAUGAAGGUGAAAAUGAAAUUCUUCAAAGAAUUCAUCAAUGAGCUGGAUGGGUCUGGGCGGCUAAUGGACUCCUUACAGAAUCGUCCGGGAACUGUGGAUUCCGUCAUGUCUGACCGGACAAUCUCCCGCUGUGGAAGCAGCACGCUGGUCCUCCCCAACCCUAGGGGAGCAAGGAUUACCUCCCACAAUCAAAGUGAACAAGUCAAGUGCCUUAGCCCUGUGUGCGAGGAGGGUGUCAACCCCCUGGACCAGGGAAAAGACCCCGGGGACAUGAGCGCCCGCCAGCUGGCUGAAGCCCUAGCUGAGAAGUACGCGUGUCGGUCCGAGCGUGUUCCGGUGUGUGAGGACUCCAGUGAGGGUCACUACGUGCCUGCGUGUGACGAGCCCAUGUCACAGGAAAUGGAGGAGGGGAUGGAGGGACCUGAGGUGGGAGACAUAAUGACGGCUACCGCCCUCGAAAACAUACUGAAAGAGGGGGAGCCCAUGCAUAACCUGCAUGAAUACAUACCCGAACCACAGUUUUCACAUCUCGAAGAGCCCAAGAAGAGUGUGACAAUCAUAUCCCGAGCGUGCUCUCGACAAACCAUGCAGUUGCCAUGUGCAAGUGGUAUCAACAUCUAUGAAGAACUCAAUCCAGAAGCACCUGGCUUCCAAACAUCUCCACCUUGCCAGACACCUCAGCCAUGCAGAAUCCCACAUCCAGUAACGGCUCCAUCAUGCCGCCCCCCACCUGGCCAUCUGACGCCCAUCGAGCGACCAGCGACAGCGGAAUCAUCAUGCGGCCAUCCGAACGCGGGCCAGGAGCUGUGUUACUUGUGUCAUCAGAGGGCUCGUAGAAACAUCCCGGUAUCAUUCGCGGAGGAGCGGCGCAGACGUGAGGAGGAGGAGGAGAAACUCCUACACCAGUUCCACGUCAUGAAGGAUGCAGAGGACACCAUCAUGGAACAUGAAAAACAGAUUGGAAAAAGACAUGAACUUCAGAAGUUGGCUGCCUUCAAUAGUGGUGUUGCCGAAGCAACCAAUUCUAAGAAAAAGGCAAAAGAUAAUUGCUUUCAUAGAUCGUACAUAUUCCAGAGAAGACCGCUGACACCACCCCGGUUCCCCAAACAAGAGGAAUACAACAAGGAAUUGACCAAGCAGGUUCAAGCCAAUGAGGGUGUGAAACAAAAAGAAAAAGCCGAAACUGAAUUUUUAGAAAAACUUGAACAAGUUCAACUUGCUGAGGAUAUUGCUGCCCUGCGGGAGAAGCAGAUAAGGGAUAAAGCUGAGCAGAUGGAGAUGGUUAAGAGGGGUUUGGAAACACAGCUAAAGUUUAAGCCACUCCCUAUCCCAGCCUGUGAAGCAGAUGGUGAAAUAUUCGGUAAAAACGAUCUGACCAAUGAGAAAAUGUUGGAAAAAAGAAGAAAAGCUUAUGAACUGUUCCAGAGUCAGCAAGAGUUGGUGGCUCAGAAAAAACGAGAAACCAUCUUGAAAAAAUUAUGUGAACAGAAAGAGGAGGAAGAAAUUCUUGAGCGGACUAAGAGAGAGUUACUGGAUGACCGCGCCCACAGAUUCAAGACGCGGAUGAACACGCGUAAACACCUGGAGGACAACUGGUGUCGAACGGUGCACAUGAAGAGAGCGCGCGAUGCCGAGGAACAUCUGGCCUCACUCUGCCCUGAGGGUCUUGUCCAUGAACAGUGUGACAAGUACCGGCGCUGUCGACAGUGUCAGCGCAAGCUAGGCAAUAAGGGUGUUUCUGAUGUCCUUUUGAACAAGAAUUUGCGUUUCUUUUUGCUGUGAUAAUUGUGUACAUAGAUCUUAUAAAUGAGGUCAACAAAUGUUUUUUCCAUCUGCUAGACAGAUUUAUCCCUGGUGAAUUAAGCCACAUGGAUUGACACUCCACAGUUUGACUCCAUGAUAUACUGCCAUACACUAACAUAUUUGUGAAUGAUGCUGAAUGUUUCAAUCUACGUCUCACUUCUUUAUUGGACAGCAGAACCAAAGCAUGUAAUUGCAUGGUAAGACAGACUGAGAAACAAACCACAGUGGCAACUAACUCUUAUGGAAAAACAUGACAGCUGUUAGAACUGAUUUCAGAUUACUUGAUAAGUUGUGUGUAUAUGUUUUUUUUAUAAAACCUCUACAAGUUCCAUGUGCUAUACCCUUUAUUGAUUGUGUAUUUCUUUAUUCUGUUUUUAUUUAUAACUGAUGGGCCUUAAAAAUGUAAUGAAUACUCCCACACUGGUUAGGAUACAUAUUUUUAUUUACUAUGCCCGGAGGGGAAAGGGAGUAUGUUAUAUCCAGUAAAACUAAAAACUUGUAAUUCAUUUUGUAAAUAAUUUCACAUGACCCAUCAGUAAUUAAAAUUAUGUUCAGUAUUAUUUUUUAAAUAACUUUGUAGUAUUUUUUAAUUUUGUUUUUCAUCUGCUAGGCCGACAGGUGUGACACCGACACAGACCAUCUCGAGGUUAUUUCCUGUAAUAAUUUGUAGUUGUUCCAGAGUGCAUGCUUUGUCUUUUUCAGUUUGAUGCCUAGACCAAUUUGGUUAAUGUAUUUUGUGGGAAAUGAUUGUACCCAUAUUAUAUUAUAUAUUCUGAAACUAUGUCUCUGACAUGAAAUAAAUUUGUCUUCUGUU